AGUGAACGCUGGCGGUAGGCCUAACACAUGCAAGUCGAACGGCAGCACAGUAAGAGCUUGCUCUUACGGGUGGCGAGUGGCGGACGGGUGAGGAAUACAUCGGAAUCUACUUUUUCGUGGGGGAUAACGUAGGGAAACUUACGCUAAUACCGCAUACGACCUACGGGUGAAAGCAGGGGAUCUUCUGACCUUGCGCGAUUGAAUGAGCCGCUGUGGGAUUAGCUAGUUGGCGGGGUAAAGGCCCACCAAGGCGACGAUCCGUAGCCGGUCUGAGAGGAUGGUCGGCCACCCUGGAACUGAGACAGGGACCAGACUCCUGAGGGAGGCAGCAGUGGGGAAUAUUAGACAAUGGGCGGAAGCCUGGUCCAGCCAGACCGAGUGGGUGAAGAAGGCCUUGGGGUUGUAAAGCCCUUUUUUUGGGUAAGAAAAGCAGCAGGUUAAUACCACGCUGUUCUGACGGUACCCAAAGAAUAAGCACCGGCUAACUACGUG
This 492-nucleotide ribosomal RNA is filed under the name uncultured bacterium. Its description in RNAcentral is "partial 16S ribosomal RNA". It matches the Rfam family "Bacterial small subunit ribosomal RNA", at positions 29 to 507 of the family's 1533-position model. The record is from RNAcentral.